This is an RNA transcript of Hevea brasiliensis (rubber tree), 2868 nucleotides long. RefSeq lists it as uncharacterized. The record is from RefSeq and is a predicted model, not a curated record. The transcript is spliced from 3 exons. NCBI's taxonomy places the organism in Eukaryota, Viridiplantae, Streptophyta, Magnoliopsida, Malpighiales, Euphorbiaceae.
AGAGAAAUAGAGAGAGACAUGGGGCAUGCACCUAAGGUUUCCGUUUGUCAUUAAGAUGAUCCCUCUGCAGUCUCCACCACCACAUCACUAUAAAUUAAGUGGCAUGGAGCCAUAAGGAUGGACAGUCCACCUGUACCAUAUACAAUACAAAACACUAAGUAGCAAAAAAUUUCCAAGAUCAUAGCAAACAUGAAGCCUGCAUUCACUUUCUUCUUCCUUCUUUUCUGUCUUUCAUCUUUUAUCAGCCUAAACUAUGCAAGAAAGCUGCCGGAGGAUUACUGGAAGAGCGUAAUGAAAGACCAGCCUAUACCAGAAGCAAUCAGAGGCUUGUUAGUUCAAGAUCCAUUAGUUGCUUCUGUACCAGGUUCUGACAAAAUAAACCAUUUUGUUAAGGAUUUUGACACCAGACCUAUUGCUGUAAUAUAUCAAAGCGGCCACGACGAGUUUACGAAAAUCGGUGGGACUCAUGGCGAGGACUUGAGAGACGAUCAUGAAAAGAAAGGAAAGAAAUCGUCUGCUGAGCAUAGCACGCCUGGUAGGGAAGAAAUUCCUACAUAGACUAGGGUUCAUAAACAAAAAUACAUAUAUAUAUAUAUAUAUAUGCAUAUAUUAAAGCAUACGAAUUUAGAGAAGGGUUCACACAAACACGUAUGUUCGUAGAAUGUUAACUGGUAUAGCGUGUUUGUAUAAAGGCAUGCUUUUGCUCUUAGACUUUUUCUCCUCUUUUCUUUUCUCGAUUUCUGAAAAAUUAUUGAAUAAACUCAGAGUAUUAAAUGAUGGUGAUUUUAAAUUCAUAUAAAUUAUGAGAAAUUAUAAAAAAGGAAUCCUGUGAGUGGAUGAGUACUUGUUAAGAGUUUAUUACUAUAUAAUUUGCCAUUAAUUAUGAGUUGCUUAUCCGCUUCUCGAGAAAAAAGAAAUCUUUUUAUUGUUUAAUCUCAUAAUUAUAACUCUAAUUAAUUCAGUAGAGCAAGAUGGAAUGAUACACCCUGUAAAUAUUAUAAACUCCAAUAUCAUUGGAUGAUCAUAAAAGGGAAAAAAAAAUUAUGCAAGAAUACAUUGGACAUGAGAAAAAGAGGGAUGGAGAAUAAUAUAUAAGUUUCAACUAUAUUUUUUUACUUAUAAAAACAUUGAAAAUCAUCAGCUGGAUAAGAUCAAUCAUGGGUUGAAAACAGAGAGAUCGAUCCAUCAACCAAGAAUUUGAGCUUAAUUAUGAUUUCAGCCCUGAAGAAAGGAAAAGAAAAGGGCCCAAUUUUUUGCAUGAUAAAAUGUAAUCAAAUGUCCCUUGAGAUUAACCCAUCCACUCGUCUUCCAAUCCCCUCUUUGCUACCCCAAUUUCCUUUCUAACAGGCCCUCACAGUCGUCGUCAUGGCUCCCAGGAAGAGGGUAAUUAAUCAAUAUUUACUACUAUUUUUAACAGCCCUUUUCACUUCUUGAUUUCACCGAAAUGGUGAACAAGUACGAUGAUGGUUGGGGAAAAAAAUGAUACAUGGUGCUGGAAUCUUCUAAGAAAGUACUGAAGAAUUGGAAUAUGAUUUGUUCAAGAAUCUGGAGAAGCGCAAAGUACCUAGCAACGUAGAAAAGGCAGGACUACUCUCCAAGGCGGAAGAGCUGGGAUCCCCACUCUUAUCAAUAGAGAAUUUGGGUGUGUUUUCGAGAGCUGAGGAGUUGGGGCUGUUAGAGUCUGUUGGAGAAGACAGCCAGUGUCUCCCCGUCGACUCUGGCUUCAGCUGGGCUUCCCAUACUGGUAGCGGCGCUGGCAGCGAUCGUGGUAAUACCGGAUGAUUUGGUGGGGUUGGUGGCGCUGCAAGCUGGAGAUUGCAGUUGUUGCAGCUGGGUUGUUUGUUGGGUCUGUUUUACUCGGUGGGUUGAAGGAAGCUGACUCAAGUGUCUGAGGAGUUUUGCUUUUCUUGGUUUUUGGGCAUUUUCAUUAAUAUUUUUAAAAUUUUUCCUGCUGAUAUGAGGGGAAAGAAAUAAUGUGGAGUGCGUAAGACUAAGGGAUGUAAAUUUCAAGGUAGGAUGAUAAUACCCUUUGUUAAGUUUGGCGCUAAUCAUUUCAUCAGGGAUAUAUUCAGAGAAAUGAUAUGAAAAAACAACAGAUUAAUAAAAGGGAAAAGAAAGGAAUGGAGAUGCGGGGUAUCGAUCCCCGUACCUCUCGCAUGCUAAGCGAGCGCUCUACCAUCUGAGCUACAUCCCCUUUCUUAUCAAUGCUUCUGCUAAUAUCAUAUUCAAAGAAUGCUGCAAUGGAGAUUGGAGAUGACUAUAACUAUCCACCCUUCGAAUAUGAGUGAUCCCCAUUUCAGAAUUUAUAACUUUUCUGGCAAAUGGAAUGACCAUGUGGUGAUAAAUUGGCGCCAGGAUCAUGAUGAAAAUGACGGGGAAGGAGGGAGGGAAGCUGGUGGGACUUUCCAGGAUUCAAACUUGGUGUUCAUGGUUGAUGCUUGUUGGACAGAAAAGGUAGAGAUUUGAGCAAGGCAGCAAUUUAACAUUAUGGUAGACGUGAAGAUGAGGUCCUUAGCACUAUCAUAACCUCUACUACAUCCCUUGCUGUGCAUUGAAGCAUUUGGUCUAUAAUCUUGUUCAUCACUGCUCUAUUGACAAACUUGAAGCUUUCCGCUGGAGUUUGACUUGGUGGCCCAAUUGUAGCGCGGUUAUCCUCUGUCACUGGUUUCAGUGGUGUAUGAUGAGCUUGUCUCCACCCAUGGCAGCAUUGCUAGGAUUCCGAGCUUUGCAGGUGUCAUAAAAUGCUGGAACAACACGAGUAUACACAAAUGAAAUGGAUUAUAUAUCUAGCUAGAUCUUUAUUUGCAUUUGCUGUUGGCGGCACUGGAUUUUCCUUUUUGGAUGAAUUGAACAUUAAGUUCUUGUGUU